Molecule: ribosomal RNA, 468 nt
Filed under: uncultured bacterium
Lineage: Bacteria
Description: partial 16S ribosomal RNA
Rfam family: Bacterial small subunit ribosomal RNA
Source: RNAcentral
GACGAACGCUGGCGGCGUGCUUAACACAUGCAAGUCGAACGGAAAGGCCCUGCUUUUGUGGGGUGCUCGCGUGGCGAACGGGUGAGUAACACGUGAGUAACCUGCCCUUUACUUUGGUAUAACUUCAGGAAACUGGGGCUAAUCCCGGAUAGGAGCUCCUUCUGCAUGGUUGGGGUUGGAAAGUUUCGGCGGUUGGGGAUGGACUCGCGGCUUAUCAGCUUGUUGGUGGGGUAGUGGCUUACCAAGGCUUUGACGGGUAGCCGGCCUGAGAGGGUGACCGGCCACAUUGGGACUGAGAUACGGCCCAGACUCCUACGGGAGGCAGCAGUGGGGAAUAUUGCACAAUGGGCGGAAGCCUGAUGCAGCAACGCCGCGUGCGGGAUGACGGCCUUCGGGUUGUAAACCGCUUUCGCCUGUGACGAAGCGUGAGUGACGGUAAUGGGUAAAGAAGCACCGGCUAACUACGUG